This 497-nucleotide ribosomal RNA is filed under the name uncultured bacterium. RNAcentral describes it as "partial 16S ribosomal RNA". It matches the Rfam family "Bacterial small subunit ribosomal RNA", at positions 28 to 507 of the family's 1533-position model. The record is from RNAcentral.
GAUGAACGCUGGCGGCGUGCCUAAUACAUGCAAGUCGAGCGAACGGACGCUACGCUUGCUUCUCUGUUGUUUGCGGCGGACGUGUGAGUAACACGUGUAUCACCUCCCUAUAAUACUGGGAUAACUUCGGGACACCGUAGCUAAUACCGUAUAAUCUUUUGCUCCGCAUUGUUCAAUAGUGAAAGACGGUCUUUCUGUCACUUAUCGAUGGAUCCGCGCUGCAUUAGCUAGUUGGUAAGGUCACGGCCUAUCAAGGCAACGAUGCAUAGACGAAGGGAGAGGGGGAUCGGCCACACGGGAAGUGGGACAGGGUCAAGAGGCCUAAGAGAGGCAGCAGAAGGGAAUGGUACGCAAUGGGCGAAAGCAUGACGGAGCAAGGCCGAGUGAGUGAUGAAGGCCUUGGGAGCGGAAAAAUCGGUUAUGAGGGAAGAACAGAUGUGGAAGUAAAUGUGCAGAGCGUGACGGUAACGAAUCAGAAAGCAACGGCUAACUACGUG